Molecule: transfer RNA, 71 nt
Organism: Ovis aries (sheep)
Lineage: Eukaryota; Metazoa; Chordata; Mammalia; Artiodactyla; Bovidae
Rfam family: tRNA
About the family: Transfer RNA (tRNA) molecules are approximately 80 nucleotides in length. Their secondary structure includes four short double-helical elements and three loops (D, anti-codon, and T loops). Further hydrogen bonds mediate the characteristic L-shaped molecular structure. tRNAs have two regions of fundamental functional importance: the anti-codon, which is responsible for specific mRNA codon recognition, and the 3' end, to which the tRNAs corresponding amino acid is attached (by aminoacyl-tRNA synthetases). tRNAs cope with the degeneracy of the genetic code in two manners: having more than one tRNA (with a specific anti-codon) for a particular amino acid; and 'wobble' base-pairing, i.e. permitting non-standard base-pairing at the 3rd anti-codon position.
Source: Rfam
UCCUGGUGUCUCAGAUGGUAAAGAACCUGUCUGCAGUGCAGAAGACCCAGGUUCAAUCCCUGGGUCAGGAA